This is a long non-coding RNA of Trifolium pratense (red clover), 693 nucleotides long. RefSeq lists it as uncharacterized. The record is from RefSeq and is a predicted model, not a curated record. Lineage: Eukaryota; Viridiplantae; Streptophyta; Magnoliopsida; Fabales; Fabaceae. The transcript has 4 exons.
GUUGUUUUAUAGUAAAAGAGAUCAUAAUUAAGAAGAAAAUUGGAGAUGGGGUUGCUUUGGAUCUUAGUAUAUGAAUUCAUCUUUAAUUAUGUCGAAAAAGUACUGUAGGCUCUAAUGAACUUUUCGUUGUGAAGGUAAACCAUGAAUGGAUCUUAGCACACAAGCAUGUUGAUCAAAAUGGAAAUCUUCUCAAUCCUCUACUCAGCAUCAUCUAGCACUUGAAGUAAUCAGCUUGGUUGGUAUGGCAUCAAAUUGUUCAUCUAUCUCUAGAACUUAACUCAAAUGUGAUUGAUAUUGAUUGCGAAGGCAGGUUCUUUGUGGAUGAUUAUGUCCCCAUAAGGGUGUUCAAGAAGCGAGGAUGAGAAGUCAACGAGCCAACGACCACCACACCCUACUCAGAGGAAGAUACUAUGCUCAAAAUCAAAUACAAGUUUUCAGAGGAAGAAUGAGAAUGAAUUGAAAGGAAAUGAUAAUGUGAUUGACCCUAAAAGCUACAAGGAAGAAUGUGAGUUCACACAUAGAUAACUUGUGGAACAAGCAACAGUUGUAACUAACUUGCCUAGUCGGCAAAUUUGUUCGAGUACUCACGCCAAAUCCUAACUAAAUGGUAGCUUGUAAUCUCGUGCAACUGUGCUUAGCUUUCUUUUCUUGCAUCCUUUCUCAACUAUAAAUUAAUGUAAUUGUAUUGAUCUA